UACAGAGGGUGCAAGCGUUGUUCGGAAUUAUUGGGUGUAAAGCGCGUGUAGGCGGCUUUGCAAGUCGGGUGUGAAAGCCCUCGGCUCAACCGAGGAAGUGCGCCCGAAACUGCAGAGCUUGAGUAUCGGAGAGGGUGGCGGAAUUCCCCAAGUAGAGGUGAAAUUCGUAGAUAUGGGGAGGAACACCGGUGGCGAAGGCGGCCACCUGGACGGAUACUGACGCUGAGACGCGAAAGCGUGGGGAGCAAACAGG
This 253-nucleotide ribosomal RNA is filed under the name uncultured bacterium. RNAcentral describes it as "partial 16S ribosomal RNA". It matches the Rfam family "Bacterial small subunit ribosomal RNA", at positions 524 to 776 of the family's 1533-position model. The record is from RNAcentral.